Dalotia coriaria is the source of this 1374-nucleotide long non-coding RNA. RefSeq lists it as uncharacterized. The record is from RefSeq and is a predicted model, not a curated record. The transcript has 2 exons. NCBI's taxonomy places the organism in Eukaryota, Metazoa, Arthropoda, Insecta, Coleoptera, Staphylinidae.
AAUGUGCACCGCCCGACCGCCAACCGCCCCCGGGGGUGGUCGAUACGUGUCGCACGGUGUCCCCUUUUCGCGCGACACACACCGCGAGGUGUGCAUGUGAAGUGCGAACGCGGUAGCCACAAGUGGUCAUUGAGAGCUGCAAGCCUUGCAGGGUGCGCUCCAACACACAUUUACAUAAAACAAAAGCUGGGACGAAGUACAGCAAACGAACAAAAAAUGUAAAAGAAGAUGCAGGAAGUACAAGCGUUGCAUGCUUGAGUAAUGAUAAAUCCAGUAAUUGAUAACAUUAAUUCUAAUCUUGACCCAAUAUGCGUUUGUUUUGUAAUAUCAACAAUAAUAUACAUAUUUCGCAAUUUAUCGCAUAUGCACAUUGCUCGGAAAAAAUAACAGCAACUAUGUAUUUAAUGCGAAUUCGAAAAUCAUAGUGUGCUAUUACUUGCUAGAACGUCGUCCAAAAUGAGAGUUGCAUGGUUGUUGCUGGGCUCGUUGCUGACCAUCACGUCCGCAUACCCCCAUUACCAACAACAAUGUCAAAACAGUUGUGUGUGUUGUUCUCCACCAGUUGUACACAGUUACAGCCACAAAUGUUGUACAAGUCAUUGUAAUACCAACUGUAAUACCACCACAACAACAACAACAACAGUACCUCCUAGCAUAUCACAGCCAAACCAGAGUGGGACAUCUUCACAUACGUCUUCACACUCGUCCAAUAAUAACAUUCAAAACUCUUUGGAUUCAGAAAUUACUAUACCCAUCGACAUAGUCAAUACUGUGAAUAAUGAAAAUCGAAUUCAUGUACCAGUCACGGUUGAUUCGACAAAUGUUAACAAUGUACAUGUAAGAAUAAUAGCACCAACACCUACAAAAAUUACACCUGAAAAACCUCCACCACCAAAACCCAGGGAAAAUGAACAGAGUAUUACUACAACAACAACAACAACAACAACAACAUCAACGGAAAAGCCAUACCAGCAUCCAAAAAUUAUAUAUGUACACCGACCAAUGUAUUAUCCGCAACCGCAAUGUUGUGUGAUUGUUCAACCAUGUCUGCAACAGCACUGUCCACAAAUCCAACAUUGUGGGCAGGAGUGUACCAGUUCGCACGUGUACCAACCUCACAACCCUUGCUUGUACCAAAAAUGCGAACGCCGCGAAUAUGUCCAAAGACGUGUGUGCACAGAACAAUCCUGCAGUGUCCAGAGACAAUCAUGUUCUGGAUGUUAUAAUAACAAUUGGUAUUCCACCUACCAUGGAUACCAACAGUGCAAAGGAUGUUAUCACUCCUCGUCUAUGCCCUCCUCCCACUCCUCUUAUAAAAAGUAAAACUAUUUUCAUUAUAUACCUAUAGUUAAAUAUAUAUGUGUUCAACUUGUU